This 508-nucleotide ribosomal RNA is filed under the name uncultured Glomeraceae. Its description in RNAcentral is "SSU rRNA". It matches the Rfam family "Eukaryotic small subunit ribosomal RNA", at positions 569 to 1082 of the family's 1831-position model. Lineage: Eukaryota; Fungi; Glomeromycota; Glomeromycetes; Glomerales; Glomeraceae. The record is from RNAcentral.
AGCAGCCGCGGUAAUUCCAGCUCCAAUAGCGUAUAUUAAAGUUGUUGCAGUUAAAAAGCUCGUAGUUGAAUUUCGGGAUCAAGGAAUCGGUCAUGCCCCGGUAUGUACUGGUUUUAUUGGUUCUCACCUUCUAAAGAACCAUAAUGUCAUUCAUUUGAUGUUAUGGGGAAUUAGGACUGUUACCUUGAAAAAUUAGAGUGUUUAAAGCAGGCUUACGCUUGAAUACAUUAGCAUGGAAUAAUGAAAUAGGAUAUCAGAUUCUAUUUUGUUGGUUUCUAGGAUCGAUGUAAUGAUUAAUAGGGAUAGUUGGGGGCAUUAGUAUUCAAUUGUCAGAGGUGAAAUUCUUGGAUUUAUUAAAGACUAAACUACUGCGAAAGCAUUUGCCAAGGAUGUUUUCAUUAAUCAAGGACGAAAGUUAGGGGAUCGAAGACGAUCAGAUACCGUCGUAGUCUUAACCAUAAACUAUGCCGACUAGGGAUCGGAUGAUGUUAAUUUUUUAAUGUACUCA